RNAcentral lists this long non-coding RNA (1826 nucleotides) under Homo sapiens (human). RNAcentral describes it as "non-protein coding lnc-MCUR1-7:1". The record is from RNAcentral. Lineage: Eukaryota; Metazoa; Chordata; Mammalia; Primates; Hominidae.
GCGCGCCCGGCAGGAAAGGGCGGUCCUGCGCUGUGGCCCACGCUCGCUCCCGCUGUCGGACUCUGGGCCUGGACCGCGCGUGGCCGGCGCCAAAAGCGAGAGGCAUGAGCGCGCGCCCGGGCCAGUGAACUGCUCGGGGAUGGACUGCGGCUCGGUCGGCGGCCAGAGGACCCAGCGCCUGCCCGGCCGCCAGCGGCUUCUCUUCUUGCCCGUGGGCCUCAGCGGAAGACCGGGCGGCAGCGAAACCUCAGCACGCCGCUGCCUCUCUGCGCUCUCCGACGGUCUGGGGGCGCUGCGCCCUCGCGCCCCGGCGGCCCGCGGCGGCGUGUCACGUGCCUCACCGCUGCUCCUCCUCCUGCUAGUGCCCUCCCCGCGCUUGGCCGCCGCAGCCCCGCGCCGGCAGCUCGGGGACUGGGAGCGCUCGCGCCUCGGGUAUGCCGCACCCCCGGCCGGGCGCAGCAGCGCGUGGAGGUGCUCACCGGGCGUCGCCGCUGCCGCCGGCGCCCUUCCCCAGUACCACGGCCCGGCGCCUGCACUCGUUUCCUGCAGGAGAGAGCUAAGCUUGUCUGCUGGAUCCCUGCAGCUGGAGCGCAAAAGGAGAGAUUUCACCUCUUCUGGGAGCAGGAAACUCUACUUCGACACUCAUGCCUUAGUGUGCUUACUGGAAGACAAUGAAUCUCACUCUUUCAUCCAGGCUGGAGUGCAGUGGCACAGUCUUGGCCUACUGCAACCCCCACCUCCCGGUUUCAAGCGAUCCUCCCACCUCAUCCUCCUGAGUAGCUGGGAUUACAGGCAUGCACCACCACACCUGGAUAAUUUUUCUGUAUUUUUACUAGAGACGGGGUUUCACCAUGUUGGCCAGGCUGGUCUCAAACUGCUGACCUCAAGUGAUCCACCCACCUUGGCCUCCUAAAGUGCUGGGAUUACAGGCGUGAACCACUGUGUCCAGUUGCCAAACCUAAUUAUGUUUAAACAUGAACUCUUUUUUUAAUUAAAAUUUUUUAAAAUUUUAUUUACAUUAAAAUGGAGAUGGGAUCACUAUGUUGCCCAUGCUGGUUCUGAACUCCUGGGCUCAAAGAUCCUCCCGCCUUGGUCUCCCAGAGUGUUAGGAUUACAGGCGUGAGCCACCACACCCAGCCAGUGAACUCUUCUUAAUAAAACUUUAAAAUUUGGCAAAAGUUUAGUUUGAGUUUUUAAAAACUAGGAAGACAGACGAGAAAAAAGAAAACAGAGUCAGAGCUAAACAAUGUUAACAUUUUGGGUUUGCUACUCAACAAGCAGAAAUCAUUGUGUCUGCAUUGGUCAAGAUCCUGGAGGCCAACAUGGACAUCGUCUACAAAGAUAUGGUCACCAAGAUGCAGCAGGAAAUCACUUUUCAGCAAGUAAUGUCUCAGAUUGCGAAUGUGAAAAAGGAUAUGAUUAUUUUGGAGAAGAGUGAAUUUUCAGCCCUCAGAGCAGAAAAUGAGAAAAUAAAACUCGAACUACAUCAGUUAAAACAACAAGUAAUGGAUGAAGUGAUCAAAGUCCGAACAGAUACCAAAUUAGACUUCAACCUAGAAAAGAGCAGAGUAAAAGAAUUGUAUUCAUUGAACGAAAAGAAGCUGCUGGAAUUGAGAACAGAAAUAGUGGCAUUGCAUGCCCAGCAAGAUCGGGCCCUUACCCAGACAGACAGGAAGAUCGAAACUGAGGUUGCUGGCCUCAAAACCAUGCUUGAGUCACACAAGCUUGAUAAUAUUAAAUAUUUAGCAGGGUCUAUAUUUACGUGCCUAACAGUAGCUCUGGGAUUUUAUCGCCUGUGGAUCUAAUAAAGUGUCUAUUUAAAGUGA